RNAcentral lists this ribosomal RNA (467 nucleotides) under uncultured bacterium. RNAcentral describes it as "partial 16S ribosomal RNA". It matches the Rfam family "Bacterial small subunit ribosomal RNA", at positions 28 to 507 of the family's 1533-position model. The record is from RNAcentral.
GACGAACGCUGGCGGCGUGCUUAACACAUGCAAGUCGAACGGAAAGGCCUCUUUCGGGGGGUACUCGAGUGGCGAACGGGUGAGUAACACGUGAGUAACCUGCCCUUGACUUUGGGAUAACUUCAGGAAGCUGGGGCUAAUACCGGAUAGGAGCUCCUGCUGCAUGGUGGGGGUUGGAAAGUUUCGGCGGUUGGGGAUGGACUCGCGGCUUAUCAGCUUGUUGGUGGGGUAGUGGCUUACCAAGGCUUUGACGGGUAGCCGGCCUGAGAGGGUGACCGGCCACAUUGGGACUGAGAUACGGCCCAGACUCCUACGGGAGGCAGCAGUGGGGAAUAUUGCACAAGGGGUGGAAGCCUGAUGCAGCAACGCCGUGUGCGGGAUGACGGCCUUCGGGUUGUAAACCGCUUUCGCUCAUGACGAAGCUUUGUGUGACGGUAGUGGGUAAAGAAGCACCGGCUAACUACGUG